UCGCCGAGUUCAGCGGGAAGAACAAACAAAGACAAAGCAGAAUCACACGGGUAAAGCAAACUAUGCGAAACGAUUAAGAUGGAGACAACCGAAGCUGUUUUAUUGCUGCUGUUGGUGUGCUGUUGGUGGAGGGCGAGACAAAGACAUCUGGAUGAGGAGAUUAUGGCUCGGCGGCGAUUUCGACGGAAACUCAUUUUGGCGGCAAGACGCAAACGCGCGAUAGAGCGACGAGAAAGACGGUUAGAACGACAGCGGAAACGCCAAGAGUGGAUGAACAUGAUGAUGCAUUACUACUACACUAAUAUACUGUGCGAAUCUGACGAGUCUGACGAUGAGUAGAACAUGUGACGGGUGGAAGAGCUGCUUAAAGAUUCACAGAGGCUUUUCUUCAGAGACAUUUAUAUAAUGCUGAAACUUGCACUACAGCUGUUUUAUUUUUUUGUUGUUGUUUCUUAUAUUGUUGAGAAAUAAAAUAUUGGAAAUGAA
Molecule: non-coding RNA, 486 nt
Organism: Danio rerio (zebrafish)
Lineage: Eukaryota; Metazoa; Chordata; Actinopteri; Cypriniformes; Danionidae
Source: RefSeq, a predicted model, not a curated record